RNAcentral lists this ribosomal RNA (475 nucleotides) under uncultured bacterium. Its description in RNAcentral is "bacterial SSU rRNA". It matches the Rfam family "Bacterial small subunit ribosomal RNA", at positions 30 to 521 of the family's 1533-position model. The record is from RNAcentral.
AUUGAACGCUGGCGGCAGGCCUAACACAUGCAAGUCGAGCGGUAGAGAGGUGCUUGCAUCUCUUGAGAGCGGCGGACGGGUGAGUAAUGCCUAGGAAUCUGCCUAGUGGUGGGGGAUAACGUUCGGAAACGGACGCUAAUACCGCAUACGUCCUACGGGAGAAAGCGGGGGAGUCUUCGGACCUCGCGCCAUUAGAUGAGCCUAGGUCGGAUUAGCUAGUUGGUGAGGUAAUGGCUCACCAAGGCGACGAUCCGUAACUGGUCUGAGAGGAUGAUCAGUCACACUGGAACUGAGACACGGUCCAGACUCCUACGGGAGGCAGCAGUGGGGAAUAUUGGACAAUGGGCGAAAGCCUGAUCCAGCAAUGCCGCGUGAGUGAUGAAGGCCUUAGGGUUGUAAAGCUCUUUUACCCGAGAUGAUAAUGACAGUAGUCGGGAGAAUAAGCUCCGGCUAACUCCGUGCCAGCAGCCGCGGU